This 1499-nucleotide ribosomal RNA is filed under the name Klebsiella aerogenes. RNAcentral describes it as "bacterial SSU rRNA". It matches the Rfam family "Bacterial small subunit ribosomal RNA". The record is from RNAcentral. Lineage: Bacteria; Pseudomonadati; Pseudomonadota; Gammaproteobacteria; Enterobacterales; Enterobacteriaceae.
GUUUGAUCCUGGCUCAGAUUGAACGCUGGCGGCAGGCCUAACACAUGCAAGUCGAGCGGUAGCACAGAGAGCUUGCUCUCGGGUGACGAGCGGCGGACGGGUGAGUAAUGUCUGGGAAACUGCCUGAUGGAGGGGGAUAACUACUGGAAACGGUAGCUAAUACCGCAUAACGUCGCAAGACCAAAGUGGGGGACCUUCGGGCCUCAUGCCAUCAGAUGUGCCCAGAUGGGAUUAGCUAGUAGGUGGGGUAAUGGCUCACCUAGGCGACGAUCCCUAGCUGGUCUGAGAGGAUGACCAGCCACACUGGAACUGAGACACGGUCCAGACUCCUACGGGAGGCAGCAGUGGGGAAUAUUGCACAAUGGGCGCAAGCCUGAUGCAGCCAUGCCGCGUGUAUGAAGAAGGCCUUCGGGUUGUAAAGUACUUUCAGCGAGGAGGAAGGCAUUAAGGUUAAUAACCUUGGUGAUUGACGUUACUCGCAGAAGAAGCACCGGCUAACUCCGUGCCAGCAGCCGCGGUAAUACGGAGGGUGCAAGCGUUAAUCGGAAUUACUGGGCGUAAAGCGCACGCAGGCGGUCUGUCAAGUCGGAUGUGAAAUCCCCGGGCUCAACCUGGGAACUGCAUUCGAAACUGGCAGGCUAGAGUCUUGUAGAGGGGGGUAGAAUUCCAGGUGUAGCGGUGAAAUGCGUAGAGAUCUGGAGGAAUACCGGUGGCGAAGGCGGCCCCCUGGACAAAGACUGACGCUCAGGUGCGAAAGCGUGGGGAGCAAACAGGAUUAGAUACCCUGGUAGUCCACGCCGUAAACGAUGUCGACUUGGAGGUUGUGCCCUUGAGGCGUGGCUUCCGGAGCUAACGCGUUAAGUCGACCGCCUGGGGAGUACGGCCGCAAGGUUAAAACUCAAAUGAAUUGACGGGGGCCCGCACAAGCGGUGGAGCAUGUGGUUUAAUUCGAUGCAACGCGAAGAACCUUACCUACUCUUGACAUCCAGAGAACUUAGCAGAGAUGCUUUGGUGCCUUCGGGAACUCUGAGACAGGUGCUGCAUGGCUGUCGUCAGCUCGUGUUGUGAAAUGUUGGGUUAAGUCCCGCAACGAGCGCAACCCUUAUCCUUUGUUGCCAGCGGUCCGGCCGGGAACUCAAAGGAGACUGCCAGUGAUAAACUGGAGGAAGGUGGGGAUGACGUCAAGUCAUCAUGGCCCUUACGAGUAGGGCUACACACGUGCUACAAUGGCAUAUACAAAGAGAAGCGACCUCGCGAGAGCAAGCGGACCUCAUAAAGUAUGUCGUAGUCCGGAUUGGAGUCUGCAACUCGACUCCAUGAAGUCGGAAUCGCUAGUAAUCGUAGAUCAGAAUGCUACGGUGAAUACGUUCCCGGGCCUUGUACACACCGCCCGUCACACCAUGGGAGUGGGUUGCAAAAGAAGUAGGUAGCUUAACCUUCGGGAGGGCGCUUACCACUUUGUGAUUCAUGACUGGGGUGAAGUCGUAACAAGGUAACGC